Molecule: long non-coding RNA, 1391 nt
Organism: Lotus japonicus
Lineage: Eukaryota; Viridiplantae; Streptophyta; Magnoliopsida; Fabales; Fabaceae
Exons: 3
Source: RefSeq, a predicted model, not a curated record
GAUUCCAUCCGCGUUUCCUGAUUUCUUUCGACGUUUCCAACCUUUCUUCAGAAGGAAGUUUCUUCAUCCGACGUCAAACGCAAAAAGUAGUUUUGCGGCAUAUUUCAACCCAUACUACGUUCAAGCUAUUUUCUCACUUAAAUGAACCAGGAACAAGUAUCGACAUUUUAUAGAGAGAUACUUAACUCUGAUGCAUAAUAUGACAACUUCAUAUUUGUUCUGAUCGUCUCACAAAUAUUCUUUAGCUCAGUUUUUACUCAUUUCUUUGUCCAUGGAUCAUUUUAAUUUGCUCAAAGUGAUCCAAACUUAUAUUUCAUUAUUUCAUAGAGUCUCUCAUAAUUUUUGGUAUAGUAAUAUAUCAACUCUAUAUUUUUCUCUUAACUUUGUGAGCUAAAUUCUUCAGUGUCUAAAUCAAUUCGUACCGGUUUUAUAAAUAUCUUCCCUAAAUAUCUAAUAAUCCAUCCUCAUCCUCUGUGACUCACGUUCACUCCCUCCUUUUCUUUCAUUGUCACGUUUCUUUCUUUCUCUUGCAGCAGACCAUAAUCUUUCUUUCUUAUUCUUCUUCUUCUCUAUUUCUAUAUAUAUAUAUAUAUCUCACCACUUGUUGCAACUCACGUUCUCUCUCUCAGAAGCAUCACCACCAGACUUCAAUAUUUAUUCAUUUCCUUUCUUUUCAUUUCUUUUGCUGCAGCUCACCAAUUCUUUCCACUUAUUCUUCCUCUCUUUUCUUUCCCCUGGGCAGCAUAAAAAAACGCACAUCAUGGUCCCUUUUCCUCCCUCACGUGAUUCCUCUCUUGUGCAGCACCAUCAUCUUCAUCUUCCAAUUUUAUGGGUACGAAGGACGAAAGCGCCUUGCGACGAAGCUAAAGAAUAGAAGGAAGCGAGCCGACGCGGAAAACAAAGAUGUGAUAGGAUUGGAGUUGCAGUUUAUGAAGAAAAUUGGCUAAGGCGAUGGAGGGCUGUCGAUGAAACUUGACCUUUGCACGAGUCGGAGCGGAAGACUUGAAGAUUAGUGGAAGACAUGAAGUGUAGAGUCGGGUUUAAGGUUAGAGCCUUGGGUUAGAGAGCUUACCGUUAUUGGUUUAAGCUUGCCUAAUAAUUUUUAGGAAUUUGCAUUUGAGAUUCGGGUAGGUUCCGAUGCAUUGCUUUCUUGCGGUUCCCUGGUGUGGAGAUCGUAGGGAGUAGGUCGGAUUAGGGUGUCGUGGCAUAACAAAUUCCUUGUUGGAUAUGAUUUCAUUCGUUAGAUUUGUAGUUGUUUUCUUCCGUUCAUACAUUCGGGAACUUGCCUUGGUAAAGGCUUGAUGUAGAUUUUAUUUACUGUUGGGUGUAGGCAUUACAUGUUUUGAAAACAAUUCAAAAGGAAAAAAAAAAUUACUCGCUUUAUAAAUUCA